This 120-nucleotide ribosomal RNA is filed under the name Bison bison bison. Lineage: Eukaryota; Metazoa; Chordata; Mammalia; Artiodactyla; Bovidae. The record is from RNAcentral.
GUCUCAGGCCGUAUCAGCCUGAAGGCGCCCGUUCUCGUCUGAUCUCGGAAGCUAAACAGGGUCGGGCCUGGUUAGUAUCUUGGAUGGGAGACCACCUGGGAAUCCCGGGUGCUCGAGGCU